Molecule: transfer RNA, 74 nt
Filed under: Fidelibacterota bacterium
Lineage: Bacteria; Pseudomonadati; Fidelibacterota
Description: Candidatus Marinimicrobia bacterium tRNA-Ala
Rfam family: tRNA
About the family: Transfer RNA (tRNA) molecules are approximately 80 nucleotides in length. Their secondary structure includes four short double-helical elements and three loops (D, anti-codon, and T loops). Further hydrogen bonds mediate the characteristic L-shaped molecular structure. tRNAs have two regions of fundamental functional importance: the anti-codon, which is responsible for specific mRNA codon recognition, and the 3' end, to which the tRNAs corresponding amino acid is attached (by aminoacyl-tRNA synthetases). tRNAs cope with the degeneracy of the genetic code in two manners: having more than one tRNA (with a specific anti-codon) for a particular amino acid; and 'wobble' base-pairing, i.e. permitting non-standard base-pairing at the 3rd anti-codon position.
Source: RNAcentral
GGGGCUGUAGCUCAGCUGGGAGAGCAUCGCACUUGCACUGCGGAGGUCGUCGGUUCGAUCCCGAUCAGCUCCAC